RNAcentral lists this ribosomal RNA (468 nucleotides) under uncultured bacterium. RNAcentral describes it as "partial 16S ribosomal RNA". It matches the Rfam family "Bacterial small subunit ribosomal RNA", at positions 28 to 523 of the family's 1533-position model. The record is from RNAcentral.
GAUGAACGCUGGCGGCGUGCCUAACACAUGCAAGUCGAGCGAUUCUCUUCGGAGAAGAGCGGCGGACGGGUGAGUAACGCGUGGGUAACCUGCCCUGUACACACGGAUAACAUACCGAAAGGUAUGCUAAUACGAGAUAAUAUGCUUUUAUCGCAUGGUAGAAGUAUCAAAGCUCCGGCGGUACAGGAUGGACCCGCGUCUGAUUAGCUAGUUGGUAAGGUAACGGCUUGCCAAGGCGACGAUCAGUAGCCGACCUGAGAGGGUGAUCGGCCACACUGGAACUGAGACACGGUCCAAACUCCUACGGGAGGCAGGAGUGGGGAAUAUUGCACAAUGGGCGAAAGCCUGAUGCAGCAACGCCGCGUGAGCGAUGAAGGCCUUCGGGUCGUAAAGCUCUGUCCUCAAGGAAGAUAAUGACGGUACUUGAGGAGGAAGCCCCGGCUAACUACGUGCCAGCCGCCGCAGUAA